CAGCAGCCGCGGUAAUACGUAGGGUGCAAGCGUUAAUCGGAAUUACUGGGCGUAAAGCGUGUGCAGGCGGUUUGUUAAGACAGAUGUGAAAUCCCCGGGCUCAACCUGGGAACUGCAUUUGUGACUGGCAAGCUAGAGUGUGGCAGAGGGGGGUGGAAUUCCGCGUGUAGCAGUGAAAUGCGUAGAUAUGCGGAGGAACACCGAUGGCGAAGGCAGCCCCCUGGGCCAACACUGACGCUCAUGCACGAAAGCGUGGGGAGCAAACAGGAUUAGAUACCCCCGUAGUCCCUGUCUCUUAUAC
Molecule: ribosomal RNA, 301 nt
Filed under: uncultured bacterium
Lineage: Bacteria
Description: partial 16S ribosomal RNA
Rfam family: Bacterial small subunit ribosomal RNA
Source: RNAcentral